Molecule: non-coding RNA, 29 nt
Filed under: Rattus norvegicus (Norway rat)
Lineage: Eukaryota; Metazoa; Chordata; Mammalia; Rodentia; Muridae
Source: RNAcentral
UGGGUGUUCACGGAGCAAGUCUGCAAACU